GCUUGGAUGGCGGAACUGGCAGACGCACGGGACUUAAAAUCUCGUGUCCUUCGGGACGUGCGGGUUCAAGCCCCGCUCCAAGCA
Molecule: transfer RNA, 84 nt
Filed under: Kapaibacterium thiocyanatum (SeqCode)
Lineage: Bacteria; Pseudomonadati; Bacteroidota; Eximiradiia; Eximiradiales; Kapaibacteriaceae (SeqCode)
Description: tRNA-Leu
Rfam family: tRNA
About the family: Transfer RNA (tRNA) molecules are approximately 80 nucleotides in length. Their secondary structure includes four short double-helical elements and three loops (D, anti-codon, and T loops).
Source: RNAcentral